This 481-nucleotide ribosomal RNA is filed under the name uncultured bacterium. RNAcentral describes it as "bacterial SSU rRNA". It matches the Rfam family "Bacterial small subunit ribosomal RNA", at positions 19 to 507 of the family's 1533-position model. The record is from RNAcentral.
AUGGCUCAGGAUGAACGCUGGCGGCGUGCUUAACACAUGCAAGUCGAACGAAGAUGCCGGAGUGCUUGCACUUUGGCAGACUGAGUGGCGGACGGGUGAGUAACGCGUGGGUAACCUGCCUUAUACAGGGGGAUAACAGUUGGAAAUGACUGCUAAUACCGCAUAAGCGCACAGGAUUGCAUGAUCUGGUGUGAAAAACUCCGGUGGUAUAAGAUGGACCCGCGUCUGAUUAGCUGGUUGGUGAGGUAACGGCCCACCAAGGCGACGAUCAGUAGCCGACCUGAGAGGGUGACCGGCCACAUUGGGACUGAGACACGGCCCAAACUCCUACGGGAGGCAGCAGUAGGGAAUAUUGCACAAUGGGGGAAACCCUGAUGCAGCGACGCCGCGUGAGCGAAGAAGUAUUUCGGUAUGUAAAGCUCUAUCAGCAGGGAAGAAAAAAAUGACGGUACCUGACUAAGAAGCCCCGGCUAACUACGUG